Molecule: long non-coding RNA, 399 nt
Filed under: Homo sapiens (human)
Lineage: Eukaryota; Metazoa; Chordata; Mammalia; Primates; Hominidae
Description: HSALNT0307866
Source: RNAcentral
GGCAACCUGCUGGGGUCGUCUUCCAUAGUGUGGCAGCUUUGUUCUUUUGCUCUGUGCUGUAACUCUUGCUACUGCUCACUGUUUGGGUCCACACUGCUUUUAUGAGCUGUAACACUCACCGCAAAGGUCUGCAGCUUCACUCCUGAAGCCAGUGAGACCACGAGCUCACCAGGAGGAACGAACAACUCCAGAUGCGCCACCUUAAGAGCUGUAACGCCUUAAGAGCUGUAACACCGCGAAAGUCUGCAGUUUCACUUCUGAGCCAGCGAGAUGCGAACCCACCAGAAGGAAGAAACUCCAAACACAUCCGAACAUCAGAAGGAACAAACUCCAGAUGCGCCACUGCUGGAGUGGAAUGAUGUGAUCUUGGCUCACGGGAACCUCCAUCUCCUGGGUUCA